AUUGAACGCUGGCGGCAGGCCUAACACAUGCAAGUCGAACGGUAACAGGAAGCAGCUUGCUGCUUUGCUGACGAGUGGCGGACGGGUGAGUAAUGUCUGGGAAACUGCCCGAUGGAGGGGGAUAACUACUGGAAACGGUAGCUAAUACCGCAUAACGUCGCAAGCCCAAAGAGGGGGACCUUAGGGCCUCUUGCCAUCGGAUGUGCCCAGAUGGGAUUAGCUAGUAGGUGGGGUAACGGCUCACCUAGGCGACGAUCCCUAGCUGGUCUGAGAGGAUGACCAGCCACACUGGAACUGAGACACGGUCCAGACUCCUACGGGAGGCAGCAGUGGGGAAUAUUGCACAAUGGGCGCAAGCCUGAUGCAGCCAUGCCGCGUGUAUGAAGAAGGCCUUCGGGUUGUAAAGUACUUUCAGCGGGGAGGAAGGGAGUAAAGUUAAUACCUUUGCUCAUUGACGUUACCCGCAGAAGAAGCACCGGCUAACUCCGUG
RNAcentral lists this ribosomal RNA (490 nucleotides) under uncultured bacterium. RNAcentral's name for it is "partial 16S ribosomal RNA". It matches the Rfam family "Bacterial small subunit ribosomal RNA", at positions 30 to 507 of the family's 1533-position model. The record is from RNAcentral.